CAUUCCACUGUGCCCCAACCAUGCUGAACAGAAGCAGCUGGCGGUCUGAAUCCCUGCAGAAAUGGUGUCAGAAGGACUGAGCCCCACCCGACAUCAAUGAGAAUGCAUAAGUGCUACAGGCUGGAACUAGGAAACACCCCACUUCCCCCACAUAACUCCUUUGAAAGAGUGGCUGAAGUUUUCAACUCAAGAUGGUCACCCUGCUUAUCACACAGAACCAGAUGCUUCAGCACCUUGGAGAGCUCCACAAGACCCACAGACCCGGGCCCCCCAACCACAAGAAAUAUAAUAAAAUACUGCUUUGAGACUCAAUUUCAGCACUUAGCUACAUAAAUAAAAGUUCCAGGAAGACUAAAUCUUAGAACCAACAGGGAGAUGAGCACUUCCAGAGUUUCAUCAGCUUCCAAAUGAUAUUUAAAUAUGAGAACGUGAGGCCUGGCUGGGCCUGUGGUGAAAUCUCCAUAACAGCAUCCUUGUAAUAAAUGCUGAAAUUCAUGCAACCAUGGCCUGCCCCCUUCACGGAUCGCAAUUCAUAAUUGUUGCUGAUUGUCACAAACCAUAGGGCUCUGAACCAAAAUCCAAUGGAGCCCGUGCAUGUGUGUGCAUGAGUGUGUGCACCUGUGUGUGUGCAUGUAUGAAGGUGUGCACUCGUGUGUGUGUGUAUGCGUGUAUGUGUGCAUACAGGUGUGUUAGCAUAUGUGUUUGCGACUAAUUUUUAGACAUGUGUCUCGGCUCUUUCUCCAGCUGGGAAUUUCAAAUGACUUGUGAGAAAAUCUGUAAGGUUAAACAUGUGGAUUUUGGAAGAUGAGAACAAAGAACGAAUACUGAUACAUUUUGGCUUAUUAUUUUGACAGUUUUGAAUUCCCACAGUAGUCUUACAACCAAAUCUUGUGAAAGUGUUUAUUCCGUUCCGUUGACCAGAAUGAGUAACAAACCUGAGAAAUGCUUUUGUGUCGUACAUUGUGUAGUGCAUUGUUAAGGCCCUCAGGUUAGCAAAAGCUGUCCUCAGCUGUGGAGCUGACUGCAGUGUGUCACUGACAUUAGCAACUGGACUUCAUUUGAUGAGCAGGCUGAACCUCUGGACAUUAAAAAGAGUAUUCACGGCCGGGCGCGGUGGCUCAAACCUGUAAUCCCAGCAUUUUGGGAGGCCGAGG
Molecule: long non-coding RNA, 1154 nt
Filed under: Homo sapiens (human)
Lineage: Eukaryota; Metazoa; Chordata; Mammalia; Primates; Hominidae
Description: non-protein coding lnc-CERK-10:2
Source: RNAcentral